This 403-nucleotide ribosomal RNA is filed under the name uncultured Pseudomonas sp. RNAcentral's name for it is "bacterial SSU rRNA". It matches the Rfam family "Bacterial small subunit ribosomal RNA", at positions 966 to 1382 of the family's 1533-position model. The record is from RNAcentral. Lineage: Bacteria; Pseudomonadati; Pseudomonadota; Gammaproteobacteria; Pseudomonadales; Pseudomonadaceae.
AACGUUUACCAGGGUAGGAUUCGGAAUUCGGUGGACCUUACGGGAACUCGUGACACGAGGUGCUGCAGUGGCUGUCGUCAGCUCGUGCGUGAGAUGUUGGGUUAAGUCCCGUAACGAGCGCAACCCUUGUCCUUAGUUACCAGCACGUUAUGGUGGGCACUCUAAGGAGACUGCCGGUGACAACCGGAGGAAGGUGGGGAUGACGUCAAGUCAUCAUGGCCCUUACGGCCUGGGCUACACACGUGCUACAAUGGUCGGUACAAAGGGUUGCCAAGCCGCGAGGUGGAGCUAAUCCCAUAAAACCGAUCGUAGUCCGGAUCGCAGUCUGCAACUCGACUGCGUGAAGUCGGAAUCGCUAGUAAUCGUGAAUCAGAAUGUCACGGUGAAUACGUUCCCGGGCCUU